RNAcentral lists this ribosomal RNA (849 nucleotides) under Salmonella enterica subsp. enterica serovar Abony. RNAcentral's name for it is "partial 23S ribosomal RNA". It matches the Rfam family "Bacterial large subunit ribosomal RNA", at positions 911 to 1757 of the family's 2925-position model. Lineage: Bacteria; Pseudomonadati; Pseudomonadota; Gammaproteobacteria; Enterobacterales; Enterobacteriaceae. The record is from RNAcentral.
UGUUUCGGCUAGGGGGCCAUCCCGGCUUACCAACCCGAUGCAAACUGCGAAUACCGGAGAAUGUUAUCACGGGAGACACACGGCGGGUGCUAACGUCCGUCGUGAAGAGGGAAACAACCCAGACCGCCAGCUAAGGUCCCAAAGUCAUGGUUAAGUGGGAAACGAUGUGGGAAGGCCCAGACAGCCAGGAUGUUGGCUUAGAAGCAGCCAUCAUUUAAAGAAAGCGUAAUAGCUCACUGGUCGAGUCGGCCUGCGCGGAAGAUGUAACGGGGCUAAACCAUGCACCGAAGCUGCGGCAGCGACACUCAGGUGUUGUUGGGUAGGGGAGCGUUCUGUAAGCCUGUGAAGGUGUGUCGUGAGGCAUGCUGGAGGUAUCAGAAGUGCGAAUGCUGACAUAAGUAACGAUAAAGCGGGUGAAAAGCCCGCUCGCCGGAAGACCAAGGGUUCCUGUCCAACGUUAAUCGGGGCAGGGUGAGUCGACCCCUAAGGCGAGGCCGAAAGGCGUAGUCGAUGGGAAACGGGUUAAUAUUCCCGUACUUGGUGUUACUGCGAAGGGGGGACGGAGAAGGCUAUGUUGGCCGGGCGACGGUUGUCCCGGUUUAAGCGUGUAGGUGUGUGUUCCAGGUAAAUCCGGUUCACUUUAACACUGAGGCGUGACGACGAGGCACUACGGUGCUGAAGCAACAAAUGCCCUGCUUCCAGGAAAAGCCUCUAAGCAUCAGGUAACAUCAAAUCGUACCCCAAACCGACACAGGUGGUCAGGUAGAGAAUACCAAGGCGCUUGAGAGAACUCGGGUGAAGGAACUAGGCAAAAUGGUGCCGUAACUUCGGGAGAAGGCACGCUGACAC